AAACAUAACUGUCAUGCAAGCUAGCCCGUAUGCAUUUCCAAUCAAAGUUGUAUCUUGGAACCCGAUAGCCACAGCAAGAGUGAGAAUCAUCAGGAUCCAAUUUAUUUCUGGUACAUAGAUCUGCCCUUUAUGCUUUGAGGUGUGGACAAUCUUGACCCGCGGGAAGCAACCUAGUGAAUUACAUUGCUUGACGAUUGAGAAUGUGGCUGUGAUGAUAGAUUGGCUGCCUACAAUGGCUGCAAGGGUUGCAAUAACAAAAACAGGCCAGUAUACACCAUCAGGUAUUGAGCUAUAGAAGCUAUUUGGAAUGGAAUCUAGAUUUUUUGACAGAAAAGCAGCUUGACCCAUGUACUGUAUCACCAAGCACGGAUACACCACAAAUGCAAAUGUAAUCCUCAUGGAGAAGGCAGAGAAAUGACCAAGAUCUGCAUACAUAGCUUCA
RNAcentral lists this unclassified non-coding RNA (442 nucleotides) under Hevea brasiliensis (rubber tree). Lineage: Eukaryota; Viridiplantae; Streptophyta; Magnoliopsida; Malpighiales; Euphorbiaceae. The record is from RNAcentral.